AACGAACGCUGGCGGCAUGCCUAACACAUGCAAGUCGAACGAGACCUUCGGGUCUAGUGGCGCACGGGUGCGUAACGCGUGGGAACCUGCCCUUAGGUUCGGAAUAACUCCCCGAAAGGGGUGCUAAUACCGGAUAAUGUCUUCGGACCAAAGAUUUAUCGCCUUUGGAUGGGCCCGCGUUGGAUUAGCUAGUUGGUAGGGUAAAAGCCUACCAAGGCGACGAUCCAUAGCUGGUCUGAGAGGAUGAUCAGCCACACUGGGACUGAGACACGGCCCAGACUCCUACGGGAGGCAGCAAUGGGGAAUAUUGGAACAUGGGGCGAAGGCUGAACCAGCCAUGCCGCGUGAGUGAUGAAGGCCUUAGGGUUGUAAAGCUCUUUUACCCGGGAUGAUAAUGACAGUACCGGGAGAAUAAGCUCCGGCUAACUCCGUG
RNAcentral lists this ribosomal RNA (433 nucleotides) under uncultured bacterium. RNAcentral's name for it is "partial 16S ribosomal RNA". It matches the Rfam family "Bacterial small subunit ribosomal RNA", at positions 29 to 507 of the family's 1533-position model. The record is from RNAcentral.